GUCUAUUUGAGCACAUUGAGUUCCCUUGGGACAGUGAUAUAUAAUUUCUGUAUCUUUUUGCAGGUUCCCUAGUCCACAAACCUGAUGGGAGAAGCCUCCAAGUGAUUCUAAUCCAGCACCUCUGUGGAGGGAGCUACCUUUCCUAUUAUGACUUUUGGAGGACAGAGUUUUCCACCAUUCAUCUUUGCAUCCUGAAUACCAGUUUUAAAAACAUUCAAAAAGAAACUUUUUAAAAACUCAUAUAAUGUGGAGUUCCUUGUGGCACCCAAGGUGUUAACGUCUGCUGGAGUUGACUUGGCGCAGAAAACUGCUGACCCCGAGGAGUUGGAACACCCUGAUGACAAGGUGUUCUUCCAGCUCGGGCACAGGAGAGCCUUGCUGGUGAAACAAGGAGAAACAUCCGGGCACAAUUUGAUAAAGGAAACAGUUUGGCAUUGGUGUCCUCAUACCUUUCUAGUCUAAAAUAUGCCCGGUGUUCAGCAGAACACAGGGC
Molecule: long non-coding RNA, 493 nt
Filed under: Heterocephalus glaber (naked mole-rat)
Lineage: Eukaryota; Metazoa; Chordata; Mammalia; Rodentia; Bathyergidae
Description: lncRNA (ENSHGLG00100031220.2)
Source: RNAcentral